This 29-nucleotide non-coding RNA is filed under the name Homo sapiens (human). Lineage: Eukaryota; Metazoa; Chordata; Mammalia; Primates; Hominidae. The record is from RNAcentral.
UGGCCACGUGCCUUUCUCCAGGUACUUAC